RNAcentral lists this transfer RNA (75 nucleotides) under Mesorhizobium ciceri. RNAcentral describes it as "tRNA-OTHER". It matches the Rfam family "tRNA". Rfam says of the family: Transfer RNA (tRNA) molecules are approximately 80 nucleotides in length. Lineage: Bacteria; Pseudomonadati; Pseudomonadota; Alphaproteobacteria; Hyphomicrobiales; Phyllobacteriaceae. The record is from RNAcentral. RNAcentral also lists the same sequence under 14 other names.
GCGGAUGUAGCUUAACUGGAAGAGCGCCGGAUUUGGGUCCGGAGGUCGCAGGUUCGAUUCCUGCCAUUUGCACCA